This is a non-coding RNA of Trichonephila clavipes, 68 nucleotides long. The record is from the annotation of a GenBank genome assembly. Lineage: Eukaryota; Metazoa; Arthropoda; Arachnida; Araneae; Nephilidae.
UUCAGAGCAAUGGAUAGCGCGUUGAACUUCUAAUUUAAAGGCCGUGGGUUCAAUUGCCUCCUGGGAAG